Long non-coding RNA from Callorhinus ursinus (northern fur seal), 6012 nucleotides. RefSeq lists it as uncharacterized. NCBI's taxonomy places the organism in Eukaryota, Metazoa, Chordata, Mammalia, Carnivora, Otariidae. The record is from RefSeq and is a predicted model, not a curated record.
GCCCCGCGGAGAGAGGUGGUAAUUCUCUGUCCAGAUUGAGCUCCCCUUCUCAUGCCGACCGAGGCCUUUCUCACGGCUGCAGUGAGCUCAGAGCAGAGGCCAGUUGUCAGCUCAACUGACACAGAAGGACUUGGCUUCCAAGGGAACACAAGGCACUCUGCCCAAGGCUGAUCGAUGUGGGUCAAGGUGGUGCAGUGGAGUGUCCACUCCUGAGUCUCAGGUCUCUGCUUUGAGGUGAUGAGCCCACACAAUGUGAUGCAAGGUUCCAAUCAGAUAACAGAUGGAAACUCCUGGCACAUGAUGAGGAUCAUCAUUCUGUCCUGCAAAACUUCGGGAAUUUAAGCUAUAGAUGUGUCUUGCAGGAAGAACUCGGAACUCAGGCGUGCGUAAAGACCUACAGCAUGUUCUCUCGGGGAUCUGGGACCCUGUGGAAUGUGAGAGUGAGGAGUUCAGACGUCAGAAUCAUAUGAUCAUGUACCAACCAUCGUGGUGUCAUUUGCUAGGAAAUUCUACUUCGAUGAAGAUUAUAACAUUGUUUCCACACAGAGAGAAAGAAAACACACUUGGUGGAAAUAACACGUUUACCCGAACUCUCUGGGUUUCUCAAGCUAUGGAACUCUUCAGGCUGAACAUUUUUGCUCUGAGAAGAGUGAAGGUGAGCACAGAGCAACCGGGAAGGCCCCUCGGGGACCAUUCACGCCGGUGGGUGUGCAGUGGAAUCCUCCUCUGAGCAGCGUCAUUUUCGGCUCAGGAUCUGUCAUGGGGCAGAACCCACCCACCUGCUUCUGGAAGAGCCUUUGGAGAAGGCCUCGCCACAAACUCAUUGUGUAGAUAAUCAAGUGAGGUGGUGGCAGAAGCAGCACCGCUGGUGACCUGGUGCAGAGGAUACGAUCCAGUCCACUUUGUGAGGAAGCCCAGCCCGGCUCCCAGUCCUCGGAUGGGAACAAGAGUGAAAAAAUAAUAAAGAAAAUACCAAGAAAAUCAGCCCCAUCAGCCGGGAAGCCUGGGGCCGUCGCUCACAGGCCCACAGCAGAACAGUGCCAGCAUUUCCAGGACCACAGACUGGCUCCUCUGAAGCUGCCCUUCCCUCUCUCUCCCCUGCAGGAGCCUGACCAGUCCCCUGCUCCCUCCCGCUGCCCACUUACCCUAAUCCCCUUGGCUUCAGCUGCCAUUUGUAUGUUCAAAGUCCUAAACUUCUCACACUGGCCCAGACCCUUCUCUUGAACCAGCUCUCCAUUCCCAGUAGCCAGUUGCACCCCCAUUUGGGGGCUCGCAGGCCACAUAGAACUGGUUGUCUCCCCUCCCAGAUGCCUCUUCUCCAUCUUCCUUCUCAGCAGAGGCCAUGAUCGCACCCUCAGUUGUCCCAACAAGCCUGUGGGGUCCUGUCCCGUGCCCGCUGCGGGCCCCGCCCCUUGCAUCAGCAUCCCCAGCAUCCCCGGAAGUGACGCGGUCCCAAGGGUUCCCUCUCUGUGCCUCCCGCCGCCGCUUCCCACCCCCAUCCUCGCUCUCCCCUUUUCCUGCUGAACUAUCCCAAGGGCAUGCUUCUCGGCUGAGCCAUGGCCUCUGCCGGAAUGCAGUCCUACGCAGGGUGCCUCCUCCUUCCCCUUCAGUCGUUUCAGGAGGCCCAAGUGGUGUCUCCAUCCCCGCGCCAGCCUCACAUGCCCCUCUCUGGACUAGACCCCGGCAUCCUUGGGCCAGAACCAUCUGUUUACAGCGCGGCCCCCCCAGAGAGUGGAAACCCCUCCAGAGACCGGAUCCGGCCCAGCAAGCAUACCAAGUGCUCAACAAACAUGGCUCCGUUGAGAGCAGCUGAAUGGGCUUUCCGCAUUUUCUUAACAAGAUAAACAAGGUUCUAACUUCGUUCUUCCUCCCAAGAGUGUGAACAAAGACAGCCUUCAUGAAAGGGAAAAACCCAGCAGCGGUGGGACUAAUGACAAGAUGGUGGCAGGCAUGCUGCGUUACUUCCCUGUGUCCAUUUACCUCUGCAAGGGCGCUCAGGAUCCCCUCCUCAGGCCAUUUCCCAUCGUUCUUCUCUGAAGUAAACAGAAAAUUCACCUGCUUCCAGCCCUGAUUAUCUUGAAUGUUCCUUGGUUUUUAUGUCCAACCUCUAGAACUGGAAAUUAGAAACCAAGAGAGUCAAACUAAAAUAAAUGACGCUCCACGCUACUGGGUAAUCCUGCCUUGUUAUGUGAGAAAUCACCAUUUGCCCAUGUUUUAACUGGGCAAACCGCACACAGAUCGGCCCUCAGGGGUUUUACAGGCAUACAUAUGCACCAGAUGGUAACACACUGGAGCAACUGUGCAGCAGGAAGGGAGUCCAUAUGAAGCAGGCAGAAGAUUCCUGAAGACUUGUCAAUGUUUGGCUCCAUGUUAUUAUCUGUGUGCAGUAGUACCGCUCCCUGGAAUCUGCUAGGGAGCUUCUCCCUCAACUUCUUCCCAUUGUGCACCAUUUAAUGAGUUUUCAAAGAGAAAAUGACUUCCAUUUCAGCAUGUGGAGCAUUUGUUUAUAGCUGGGUUUGCAAAAAAGAAUCUGGAAUUAUUUUUUGGUAAUUUGCACAUUACUAAAUAACAGAUGGUCUGCAAAAGUGGUUGGAUUUCAAAUGCCUGAUGUGGAAGGAGUCUCAUGUUUUAUAAAAAGUUCGAGGGACACCAAACUGCCAAGGCCAGGCAAAUACCUUGAAGAUCACAACAAAGAUCUGUUUGCAAACCGGGAGACCCCCUCUCUGGGAGUGGGGGCUCUCGGCCCUUGCUCAUUGCUGUUGGUGGGAUGGCUUGCAUUAGUCUCCCACUGCCAGGUAAGAACAGUGACGCCGGCGAGGCCCUCAGGGUGGAACUCAUCGCUGUUGUUUCUCCAAAACAACAGAGUAACAGUCAUCAUAACAGCUACAUUUAUGUGCUGCACCUAAUGUCCUAACACGAGAAAGAGGUGGCAAGAUGCGGGAGAGAAGGCAGGGGCGGAAGAAGAGGAAGCAGAGAACAAUACAAAACAAAGCAAAAUGGGACAGGCAGACCCUGUUUUGUUUUCCCUGAAUAGCUGCCUGAACUCUCUUGGUGGACGUGUUAUUUCCAACAACUUUUAUGUGCAGAUGUUGUUUGAAGCGCUGCAUGCCUUGGAUUCUCAGGGACAGCAGUGCUCACUCAGGAAGCCCAGAUGCUGGGCAGGGUUGUCUGCCUUCUCCCUUAGGAGGAAGCACGAGGGCAUGGUGAUUCCAGGCUGCAGGCCAUUUGCACCUGUGGCCCUAGAGCACGGGGCUCUGAGAGGGGGUUACUGGGAAGGUUAGAGACCAACUGGAGGAGGUGCCUCAACCCUAGUGGAAUACUCGGAAGAUAGAGGAGGGGUGCUGCCUAGGACACGGCCUUUCUCCAGUGAGGAACGCAUUGUCCCCCUCAGCAUCUUCGGGGAAUACGCAGUGCUGUCUUCUUCCUCCUUCUGCCUCCUCCAUGGGCUCUUGGACUGACAUGAGGGGCAGCAGAAGAUGGGGAGGGUCCUCGAAGGGGACUGGGGAAGGGCUGGGCUCAUUUUCUGUCCUCAGAGGGAGGCUGACAGAGCAGAGUGAGUUGACUUCUUGAACUAGGAACUCUUUAAGGGCUUAGCAGUUAACUUGAGGCUGGAUUUUUCUCUUUUCAGAAGAAAGACAGGGGCAAUCCUGACUUAAGAGCCUAAAAUUAUUGACAGCUGACAAGAGGCCCACUGAGGCUCCUUUUUAGGCUAAAUCAUUUCAGAUACCAAAGGGAAAAGAACUUGAGGUGGUUACAAAUGUCCUUCCAGGGCUGUUCAGGAGAUCUACUUUCUAGGAGGAAUUUGUAUGAAAAUGAGUCCUGUUGAAACUACAUGGAAUUUGAGGCCCAGUCAGACCUUUUUUCUUCCUGUGCCCCCAGAAGAUUCCUGUUCUGUGGUAACAACUCACCAGCUUAUAUUGGUUGAGUAUUAGUGUCUAAAGGGCUUUCCUAUCCACUGUUUUAUUGUACUUACAUCUUUUAAAAUUUUUUCCAGAACACAUUUAUAAAAUUAUUACCAAAUAGAAAAGAGUUGAAAAGCACCAGAAUAUCAAUAGGGGAAUGCUGGAAGUUUCUUCCAGAGCUACUUCCAAAAAGAAGAACAGAAAAAGAAAAGCAAAAAUGGAUAGGAAACAGGGAGGGAAGGAAGGAGGGAGAGAAGGAAGGAAGAAGGGAGUGAGAGAGAAGGAAAGAAAUUCCUUGAGAUGUUUUCUCAGAGUUUGUUUAUUAAAUAGAAAGGUUAAGUUGCUCUAGUCUGCGUCAGCUGCGAGAUGAAGAGAGAUAGCUAAUUUUAUUCCCGUUUUACAGAUGAGGCAAAAGAAACAGCAGAAAAACGACUUACUGAGCUCCUUAGUGACACAGCUUGGCUGCCGCCCAGACCUACAGACCUGGAGCUGCUUCUACUCUUUGGGGAAGUGCCCCCAGGCAAAAUGACCUGAGAAGGUCAGAAAACGCAGGUGAAGUCAUCUCAGAAGGGGGUUCACCAGGGAAAGGACGUCUUGGGACCUGGCCCUGAGAGGCUCCAUGUCUAGAGAUGUGAAGAAAGCCAUUCACUACUGAGCAUUGGUGUUGGGGCUAUGGUUCCAGACUCAUUGAAAAUGCAGUGACAGGCUGAGGAGACUUCUAGUUGGGGGCUGUUUUUGUCAUGGCCAGUACUGUGGUUUGAAUGUAGUGGGUGUCCAAGACAGGAAGAGCAGGAGACAGAUCUCUGCCUCAACCCCGUGCCGCUCACUGAACUUUCCUGUUCUCAGCUUCUUUGCCCUUCUUUGCCUCUCCCUUAUGCCACGCUUAGUGGCUCUGGACUGGGUUGGGCUGCAUCAGUAGGUCCCAUCUCACACUAUCCACCCCCCGCUAGGAUGACCAGAGUACCCCCCCACACUGUCCCUCACUCCCUGCUGGCUGCACUCCAGACCUACCCCCCAGCGGGGCUGGCUUCCAACAGCUCCUCCUCAGGGGACACUGGCCAUGCUACUGGGGGUGGGGGCAGGCAGUCCUCUUUCUACACCCCCACCCCACUCCAGGGUGGGGCUUAUACAGAUUCACCCAUAGUAAGGAUUACCUCAGGCCAAACCCUGUUUCCAUCCACAUGCACAGGAAGGAGGUUAAGGUGAGAUUGGUUUAUUUUGUCCCUCAUUAUCAACUCUGGUAAACAAAAAACGGCUUGACUUGGCAUCGAAGGAAUUUAAACUAUUAGCUCAAAUGGGGGUUUGGGGAUUAUCUGUGGAUUUCCUUUAUUUGUUCUCUUUCCUCUCUUGCCAUGGCUAAUCCAAAUUUGAUGGGAAGUGAGGCAUCAGCUAUUCCAGAAACCUCACAGGAUCCUCUGUGAUGUGGGCUCCCCGCCUGCUUGCAGGUUUAUUUUUGUCACUUCUUGCCUUCACAUCUCAAGCCCGUGACCCUGCGUCUUGGUGCAUUGUGCUCUAGCGUUUCCUGAAGCGAGCACCCGCAGCCUCAGGAUUCAGGGUUCGUCUCCUGGGCCUCCCAGAGCAAGAUGUGGGAGCAGCCCUGCUUCCAGGUCGGUGCCCUUCUGUGUCUGGGCGAGCUUCUGGGAUAAAACCUGUUCUUUCUACAGAGCUCUGUUCCUCAUUUCUAUUGGCCCUUUAGCAAGAAAAAGUGAUCCCAGUGUUCAUGUCCCCUUGCUGGAACGGAGGCCUGUCAUCGUGGGGAGGGGGACUUGUCCUCUAGCAGCCCUGGGGUGCCUCAUCAGGAGCUGUACCACGCCCUGCCCCAGACAGCCACAAAAUGUUUACAACUCCAGUUGAAAAACCACAAGCUUAGCAAAAUGUUUGCAUGGAGGCAAAAGACAAAGCCCACUGACAUAUUUUUCUUAAACUGUUAAAAUCCUGCAGGUUGGUCUGACUUUUCUGAGCGUGAGUCCCAUGAGGCUUUGAUCAAUAUCAAGGAUCAAAUCAUUUACAGAAAACACUUUUCCUUUGGAAUGUGUCUUGUAGUCCUUUAAGCUCCAUUUGGCCUACUAUUAUUUAUGAUAUUUGAAUUUUUCUUUAAAUCAUCAGGAAG